UGGUUUACUUUGCUCAUUUUUUCUCCUCUUAAUUGUCAUUACCACUCCUCACACCUCUAUCAUGAUUUCCAAGUUAGUUUAUUUGUAACCUGUUGGUCUUAGUAUAUUCCAUGAAAUCAUAAAAAUUACACACACGCUGGAAAUUGAUGUAAAGUCACUUUUGUGAAUCAUCAUCAUAUACAACCCAAAAAGCAAACAAAGACCAGUGUGUAAACGAAGCAGAAACCUUACCUCAUAAUACAGAGGGGCAAAAGGCUUAAUUCAAUAUUGGAGUUCAAGAAAUAUGAGGUCUUGAAAUGGUGUUAACCUCUCAAUUGUUGGAUAAGAAAGAGAAGAGGUGUUACUGGAUAAGAUAAUGGAUAGAGUGAGCAGAAGAAAAAAAAUGGUGGAAUGACUCACAUUACGAGCAUUAACUCCAUUGUCCUAGUAUGAUUCUAGGCUUUCUAGCAAUAGGAGAAAAUUCCAAGUGCAUACAAAGGUGUUCUACAUUUAAUUUCUAUACCACAUUUUACGUGGUAACAUGAUGAGAGCUAGGUAC
RNAcentral lists this long non-coding RNA (538 nucleotides) under Capsella grandiflora. RNAcentral describes it as "long non-coding RNA (CGRA_LNC001048)". Lineage: Eukaryota; Viridiplantae; Streptophyta; Magnoliopsida; Brassicales; Brassicaceae. The record is from RNAcentral.